This 1727-nucleotide long non-coding RNA is filed under the name Prunus dulcis (almond). RNAcentral's name for it is "sRNA ncRNA". Lineage: Eukaryota; Viridiplantae; Streptophyta; Magnoliopsida; Rosales; Rosaceae. The record is from RNAcentral.
CUAAGGUCCUUACACAUGUGUUCAGAAAAAAAGAAAAAGAAAAAAAGAUUAAAAAAGGACUACUAGUCUUACUUUGACCAUUCUUUCAAAUCAAAGCCAUACUGCUAUUUGGUCACACACAAAAAAGAAAAAGAAAAAAUAAAAAAUUCCCACGGUUGAGCCGCUGAGGUAGAGCCAAGUAUGCUGAAAUCUUUGGUUGGCCUAUGACCUCUUGUUGUCUUGAAUUCUUCUUCUUUUGCGCAUGUAGAAUGUGCCAAUCCUGUUUUGGUGCGCACCUCCGUUUUCUUUUGACCCUCCUCACCUCAACCAAGUUUCCUUCAACUUUGCUAAAAGUGGCUUUGUAAUGAAUUGGAAAUUGGGUUGCUGGUUUCACUUGAAAACGUUCAGUGCUUAAAAAUAAUUAUUAAUUCUAGAGUUGUGGUUGUGCAACCACAUCUUGCAACUCAUUGUGAAUGAAGCUGAAGCUAAUUAAGCUGCUUAAAGAUAGGCUAAGCAUGUUCUUCUUUCUUCUUCUUUUUUCUAAAGAAAUUUAAGGGUUAAAAACUUUUUUCGUCACUGUGUUUAUGCCGAAAAUCUAUUUUGGUCAUUGUACUUUACAAUGUUCGCAAGCGUUACAAUGUCUGAAAUGAUUUUUGGUAUGAAGAGAAAAACCAUUAAUCAAAAUUUUUUUUUUUUGGGUUCAAAAAGGGAAAAUGAUGAAUUAGAGAUGAUUUGUGGGGAUGGUGAUACCCAUAUACUCCAAGUCCAUGAAAAUAAAUUAUAAUUCAACAAACACAAAAACCCAAGAAAACCAACACCAAUAGAGAAAGAUAGAGAUAUAGUUGCAAUAAUUUGAGGUUAUGGAAACCCCAAUUAAAUUAUUAAUAAUGGGUUAAUUUUGCAAAUAAUACACAAACCAACCAUUUGGGAGACUAAAUCCCAAAAAAAGAAAAAGAAAAAAAACUAAAAAUUCAAUCUCCCAACCCAAUCAUAUAAUUUCAUGAACAACACCCCCUUCAACAAAAUUAAAACAUCACAAACAACUCACAAUUUACAAACCCAUCCCUCCUAAAAACUAAAAGAAAAUUAUACAAUAAAAAACUAAACAUUUAUAAAAUAAAAAAACUCGGGUAGUUCGGGUCGGGUCGGGUGAGCUGAGCAAUGUAAUGGGUUGAAGAAGAAUUGAGGAAAUCAGGCGUGAGUGUGGGGUCUACCUGGAGAAGUGGAGGAGGGAGUUGAGGAGACGAUAGAAGGCGUGGCGGAGGCGAGGGUAGAGUCUGAUGCUGUAAACGGCGGUGUGGCGGAGAAAGUCUUCGAUUGUCUCCACGAACAGGUUGAUGCUUCGGAUCGGCGGCACGUAGAGGGUCAAAGGCACCGCUGAGAAAGCCACCGCGAAUAGCAGCUGCAGCAUUUUAAACUCCAACCAAACAAGUCAAAAUCAAAGGAUUCAAUUUCACACCAAACCAACCCCAACCCAAUAACAUACAAAGAUUGCAAGACUCUGCAGCUCUAGAUUGCGAUAACAUAUAUAUGAUUUUGCUUUUGGGUUUUUUGGUCUUUGGGCAGAGAGAGAAAGUGAGUGACUUUUCAAAGAGAGACAGAGAAACGAAGCUUUCUUCUUUGUCUCUCUCCUUUUUCUCGCUAUGGGUAACGUGGUUUUGUAUUUUUUUGAUUGGAUGGUGGGGUGGUUAGGACAAGGCAUGCUUUUAUAGGAGGAUGAUGUAAAUUCUAACCUCUCUCAUGUAUAU